CGAUAGCGUAUAUUAAAGUUGUUGCAGUUAAAAAGCUCGUAGUUGGAUUUCGGGGUGGCCUGGCUGGUCCGCCGCAAGGUGAGUACUGGUCAGCCGCCCUUCCUCUCGAAAGCCCCGACUGCUCUUUACUGCAGUGGUCGGGUAGUUCGGGACGUUUACUUUGAAAAAAUUAGAGUGUUCAAGGCAGGCUAUCGCCUGAAUACAUUAGCAUGGAAUAAUGGAAGAGGACCUCGGUCCUAUUUUGUUGGUUUCUAGGGCCGAAGUAAUGAUUAAGAGGGACAGUUGGGGGCAUUCGUAUUUAAUUGUCAGAGGUGAAAUUCUUGGAUUUAUGAAAGACGAACUAGUGCGAAAGCAUUUGCCAAGGAUGUUUUCAUUAA
This 377-nucleotide ribosomal RNA is filed under the name uncultured eukaryote. Its description in RNAcentral is "partial 18S ribosomal RNA". It matches the Rfam family "Eukaryotic small subunit ribosomal RNA", at positions 592 to 976 of the family's 1831-position model. The record is from RNAcentral.